CCUUAUCACUUUUCCAGCCCAGCUGUGUGAUUCUAAGUGUUGGACGGAGAACUGAUAAGGGU
This 62-nucleotide microRNA precursor is filed under the name Echinops telfairi (small Madagascar hedgehog). RNAcentral's name for it is "Ete-Mir-184_pre stem-loop". It matches the Rfam family "mir-184 microRNA precursor family", at positions 13 to 74 of the family's 86-position model. Lineage: Eukaryota; Metazoa; Chordata; Mammalia; Afrosoricida; Tenrecidae. The record is from RNAcentral.